Stylophora pistillata is the source of this 735-nucleotide long non-coding RNA. Lineage: Eukaryota; Metazoa; Cnidaria; Anthozoa; Scleractinia; Pocilloporidae. The record is from RefSeq and is a predicted model, not a curated record.
AUUUAAUGUUUUCGAUUCAGAUCAUUACUCGGUGAAUAUACCGCGAAAUCCCAUCAGACAUGUGUACGAGGAAGACGAGAAGGCCGACUUUGGGAAAGCGAAGACCCUUGAUGAUGGGAAGAUCCAGUGUACUCUGAGAGUGCACUGGGGAGAGUUCAAUGGAAAGGGAACAAACAAGAAGAUUGCUAAAGCUACAGCUGCCAAGCUUGCCAUUGAAGCAUUGGAAAAGAAUUCUUCGCAAGAGCGCGUCGCGCUAUACGAAGAAGAUUGAGUUUAAGUGCGGGCUUGGAGGACGUCAGUGUAGUUGUUCAGGGUGCGCUCUUAGUUCUGAGUUGUCCUUAGGGAAUCCCGCGGAACAUCUUUUAUAAGAAAUAGAUUUCUCAUGUGCCACUGCUUAUUUUUUUAUAUUAUCUUCCGCAACACAGAAAAUUAAAUUUCUGGCAUGACCAUCACUCUCUGGGAGCUACGGUUAUGAAGGCGAUGUACCUUGAAUGAAUGGGCAUCAUUAAAGAUUACUUUAUUGUAAAAUUGUUUAUAAAGUGCUGUGAUUGAUUUUCUUAGACAUCGACGUUAGGCUACAAGCAUAUUCAUUAGAAAUACGGCUUUGAAAUUUUUUUUAUUCACAUUUUACUUUUUUAAUGAAACUGGAUUUUUACCUGUGGGCGUCAGGGCGUCAUCGCUGUCAAUUUCUGGAAAAGAGGGAAAAUCCUAACCAUGCAAAACAACAAUAAAACA